Molecule: ribosomal RNA, 520 nt
Filed under: uncultured Paraglomus
Lineage: Eukaryota; Fungi; Glomeromycota; Glomeromycetes; Paraglomerales; Paraglomeraceae
Description: SSU rRNA
Rfam family: Eukaryotic small subunit ribosomal RNA
Source: RNAcentral
CGCAGCCGCGGUAAUUCCAGCUCCAAUAGCGUAUAUUAAAGUUGUUGCAGUUAAAAAGCUCGUAGUUGAAUUUCAGGCCUGGCUGGACGGUCCGCCCUUCGGGUGAGUACUGUCUGUGGUCGGGUCCUACCUUCUGGCGAAGCGUCAUGGCCUUAACCGGCCGUGGCGGGGAACCAGGACUUUUACUGUGAAAAAUUAAGAGUGUUCAAAGCAGGCAAUCGCUUGGAUACAUUAGCAUGGAAUAAUGGAAUAGGACAAUGGUUCUAUUUGUUGGUUUCUAGGACCGUUGUAAUGAUUAAUAGGGAUAGUUGGGGGCGAUUAGUAUUCAAUUGUCAGAGGUGAAAUUCUUGGAUUUAUUGAAGACUAACUACUGCGAAAGCAUUUGCCAAGGAUGUUUUCAUUAAUCAAGAACGAAAGUUUAGGGGAGUCGAAGACGAUCAGAUACCGUCGUAGUCUUAACCAUAAACUAUGCCGACUAGGAAAUCGGGCGAUGUUUGACAAAAAUGACGCGCUCGGCACC